This 472-nucleotide long non-coding RNA is filed under the name Rattus norvegicus (Norway rat). RNAcentral describes it as "long non-coding RNA NONRATT004598". Lineage: Eukaryota; Metazoa; Chordata; Mammalia; Rodentia; Muridae. The record is from RNAcentral.
GGAUAGCGGGUAGUCCGGAUAGCUGGUGUUCGGGCUCUCUGACGAGCAACUAUCCUCUUCUCCCUCGCUCUGGGUCCGUGUCACUGAGCCGGGAGAGGCCGCAAAGAUGAGCGUGAACGUCUGCGUGCCCCCGGGGAACCAGCCGUGGACGGCGGGGACCGGGCACGGCGCGGAGGCCCGGACGUUUACAUCAUCAUUUAUUACUGGAGACCGAGGCUCGCGUAGCCCAGGCUGACUUCAGACUCUGUCGCUAAGGAUGCCGUGAACUAAGAGAUCUUCUUCUUCCAUCUGCCAAGGGUUGGGAUUUCAGGCGUGGGCCACGUUGCCCUUUUUACCGGAUGCUGGGGAUCGAACCCAUGAAUUCGUGCGUGCUAAAUUAACACAACUGAGACACAUCCCUAGAUCCUAGAUCUAUUAUUUAAAUUUUAAUUUAAAAAAGUGUUUAAAUUUUUAAUUAAAAAAAUUUUUAAGG